UGAAUACGAGACGCUAAGGCGUCGAAGUAGUGUAUGUCAUACUUCCAAGAAAAGCUUGCACUGUCAUAGAUAAAAAACGCCUGUACCAUAACCGACACAGGUGGGUAGGUAGAGUAUACUAAGGGGCGCGAGAUAACUCUCUCUAAGGAACUCGGCAAAAUAACUCCGUAACUUCGGGAGAAGGAGUGCCUUAUUCGUAAGGUUGCAAUAACAAGAUCCAAGCAACUGUUUAUCAAAAACACAGGUCUCCGCUAAGUCGUAAGACGAUGUAUGGGGGCUGACGCCUGCCCAGUGCCAGAAGGUUAAAGAAGUUGGUUAGCAAUUGCGAAGCUGAUAACUGAAGCCCUGGUGAACGGCGGCCGUAACCAUAACGGUCCUAAGGUAGCGAAAUUCCUUGUCGGGUAAGUUCCGACCCGCACGAAAGGCGUAAUGAUUUGGAUACUGUCUCGGAGAGGGGCUCGGUGAAAUAGACUUGUCUGUGAAGAUGCGGACUACCUGCACCAGGACAGAAAGACCCUAUGAAGCUUUACUGUAACUUGAAAUUGAAAUUGGACUUUAUUCGCGCAGCAUAGGUGGGAGGCGUUGAUUAUAAUCUUGCGGGAUUAUUGGAGCCAUCAGUGAGAUACCACUCUUGUAAUGUUAGAUUUCUAACUUUGAAUCAUUAUCUGGUCAAAGAACAGCUUCAGGCGGGCAGUUUGACUGGGGCGGUCGCCUCCUAAACGGUAACGGAGGCGUACAAAGGUUUCCUCUGAACGGUUAGAAAUCGUAUCUAGAGUGUAAAGGCAUAAGGAAGCUUGACUGUGAGACCUACAAGUCGAGCAGGGACGAAAGUCGGUCUUAGUGAUCUGACGGUACUGAGUGGAAAGGCCGUCACUCAACGGAUAAAAGUUACUCUAGGAUAACAGGCUGAUCUCCCCCAAGAGUUCACAUCGACGGGGAGGUUUGGCACCUCGAUGUCGGCUCAUCGCAUCCUGGGGCGGUAGUACGUCCCAAGGGUUGGGCUGUUCGCCCAUGAAAGCGGUACGCGAGCUGGGUUCAGAACGUCGUGAGACAGUUCGGUCCAUAUCCGGUGUAGGCGUUAGAAUAUUGAGAGGAGCCUUCUUUAGUACGAGAGGACCGAGAAGGACAUACCUCUGGUGUACCAGUUAUCGUGCCAACGGUAAACGCUGGGUAGCUAUGUAUGGAGUGGAUAACCGCUGAAAGCAUCUAAGUGGGAAGCCCACCUCAAGAUAAGUAUUCUCAU
Molecule: ribosomal RNA, 1243 nt
Filed under: metagenome
Description: bacterial LSU rRNA
Rfam family: Bacterial large subunit ribosomal RNA
Source: RNAcentral